GGAAUCUCUCGGGUAUUAGCCAUGUACUGAGCAUAGAAAGUUCCGAAAAGACUAUAGCGCCAGACAAAGAUCGAGCUAAUGAUGCUAAUGCCGGAAGGAGUGGCAAUUAUCAUCAGUCUUGCCUCCAGGAAGAUUUUGAGAUGCAACAAGGAGCUGCUGGAGCACAUCACCGUGAUCUCAGUGGAAGGUGCCAACUGCAAGCUCAUGAAGCGAGGGAACCAUCCCGAUGGCACCCUGCGUUGCCUUCUCGGGGUACGAUGUGGAGGCAGCGAAGAGCAUGAAUAUACACGUUGAUACAGUUUGGCUUUUCGAAGUGUAAGAUGCGGAGGAUGGCUUUACUGUGGUCAUGGCGGCCUACUGGCUUUUCGGCUU
Long non-coding RNA from Ixodes scapularis (black-legged tick), 372 nucleotides. RefSeq lists it as uncharacterized. The transcript has 3 exons. The record is from RefSeq and is a predicted model, not a curated record. Lineage: Eukaryota; Metazoa; Arthropoda; Arachnida; Ixodida; Ixodidae.